This 253-nucleotide ribosomal RNA is filed under the name uncultured bacterium. RNAcentral describes it as "partial 16S ribosomal RNA". It matches the Rfam family "Bacterial small subunit ribosomal RNA", at positions 524 to 776 of the family's 1533-position model. The record is from RNAcentral.
UACGGGGGGGGCAAGCGUUGUUCGGAAUUACUGGGCGUAAAGGGUCUGUAGGUGGCUUGCUAAGUCAGACGUGAAAUCCCUCAGCUUAACUGGGGAACUGCGUCUGAUACUGGCAAGCUUGAGUGCAGGAGAGGAACGCGGAAUUCCAGGUGUAGCGGUGAAAUGCGCAGAUAUCAGGAGGAACACCGGUGGCGAAGGCGGGUCUCUGGGCCGAUACUGACGCUGAGGAGCGAAAGCGUGGGGAGCGAACAGG